RNAcentral lists this ribosomal RNA (468 nucleotides) under uncultured bacterium. RNAcentral describes it as "bacterial SSU rRNA". It matches the Rfam family "Bacterial small subunit ribosomal RNA", at positions 28 to 496 of the family's 1533-position model. The record is from RNAcentral.
GAUGAACGCUGGCGGCGUGCCUAACACAUGCAAGUCGAGCGAAGCGCUGUUUUCAGAAUCUUCGGAGGAAGAGGACAGUGACUGAGCGGCGGACGGGUGAGUAACGCGUGGGCAACCUGCCUCAUACAGGGGGAUAACAGUUAGAAAUGACUGCUAAUACCGCAUAAGCGCACAGGACCGCAUGGUGUAGUGUGAAAAACUCCGGUGGUAUGAGAUGGACCCGCGUCUGAUUAGGUAGUUGGUGGGGUAAAGGCCUACCAAGCCGACGAUCAGUAGCCGACCUGAGAGGGUGACCGGCCACAUUGGGACUGAGACACGGCCCAAACUCCUACGGGAGGCAGCAGUGGGGAAUAUUGCACAAUGGGGGAAACCCUGAUGCAGCGACGCCGCGUGAAGGAAGAAGUAUUUCGGUAUGUAAACUUCUAUCAGCAGGGAAGAAGAUGACGGUACCUGAGUAAGAAGCACCGG